UACGUAGGGUGCGAGCGUUAAUCGGAAUUACUGGGCGUACAGCGUGCGCAGGCGGCUUUGCAAGACAGAGGUGAAAUCCCCGGGCUCAACCUGGGAACUGCCUUUGUGACUGCAAGGCUAGAGUACGGCAGAGGGGGAUGGAAUUCCGCGUGUAGCAGUGAAAUGCGUAGAUAUGCGGAGGAACACCAAUGGCGAAGGCAAUCCCCUGGGCCUGUACUGACGCUCAUGCACGAAAGCGUGGGGAGCAAACAGGAUUAGAAACCCUAGUAGUCC
RNAcentral lists this ribosomal RNA (273 nucleotides) under uncultured bacterium. Its description in RNAcentral is "partial 16S ribosomal RNA". It matches the Rfam family "Bacterial small subunit ribosomal RNA", at positions 524 to 796 of the family's 1533-position model. The record is from RNAcentral.